RNAcentral lists this long non-coding RNA (343 nucleotides) under Phascolarctos cinereus (koala). RNAcentral's name for it is "lncRNA (ENSPCIG00000037301.1)". The record is from RNAcentral. Lineage: Eukaryota; Metazoa; Chordata; Mammalia; Diprotodontia; Phascolarctidae.
GCCCCAGCUCAGAAAUGACUGGGAUGACUGAAAUUCCUUUUGUGUGAGCUCCCAUACCUGCAAAAUCGAAAUUGGGGUGGGUGGUGGGAAGCAGAAAUCUAUUGUGAAAUGUGGGAUGCAAAAACAAAAGAUUUCAAUGAACACUCAUUUAAAUAAAAAAUUGGAGUAACACCUUGCCUUUUUCACAGGUUGCUCGUGGGUGUACCUGGACCUUUUCUGAAGUGAGCAAGGACCUUUUCACUCUAGUCUGGAGAAAGAAGAUUCUACAAUUACCUGCCACUCAACACCUGCUGGUAAGUUCUUUGUUUUGUCUCUUGAAAUUCUCUCUCUUCUGUUCUAGUUC